Molecule: ribosomal RNA, 253 nt
Filed under: uncultured bacterium
Lineage: Bacteria
Description: partial 16S ribosomal RNA
Rfam family: Bacterial small subunit ribosomal RNA
Source: RNAcentral
UACGUAGGGAGCAAGCGUUGUUCGGAUUCAUUGGGCGUAAAGGGUGCGUAGGUGGUCGGGUAAGUCUGAUGUGAAAUCUCCGAGCUUAACUCGGAAAUGGCAUUGGAUACUAUUCGGCUGGAGGUUUGGAGGGGGGACUGGAAUUCUCGGUGUAGCAGUGAAAUGCGUAGAUAUCGAGAGGAACACCAGUGGCGAAGGCGAGUCCCUGGACAACACCUGACACUGAGGCACGAAAGCUAGGGGAGCAAACAGG